GUCCCUGUAGCUCAAUGGGAUAGAGCAACUGCCUUCUAAGCAGUAGGUUCCGAGUUCAAGUCUCGGCAGGGACGCUA
RNAcentral lists this transfer RNA (77 nucleotides) under Dehalococcoidia bacterium. Its description in RNAcentral is "tRNA-Arg". It matches the Rfam family "tRNA". From Rfam's summary of the family: Transfer RNA (tRNA) molecules are approximately 80 nucleotides in length. Lineage: Bacteria; Bacillati; Chloroflexota; Dehalococcoidia. The record is from RNAcentral.